UGGAAAUUAGGGCUAUGGCAACGCCUUCCUCUGCAACGGUUAUACAACCGUUGCUGUAACCGAGGUACUGCAACGGUUAUACCCGUUGCACAAGGACAGAAUGCUAUAGCUACACUUUAGCGUCUAAACCGUUGCAAUUGUAUCUAAACCGUCACCAUACAUGUCCCUAAUGGGACGAUUUUCUUUAACCGUUGCAAUAGUUGUAAUAUGGAAACAGUUUUGUUUCUAUUGCAACGGUUUUAAAUUCCCUCCCAAAUUUUCCUUAUUUUCACUGUAGCCCGCCUAAUAGAGAGACCACAUUAUUUUUCCUUUUAGCCAAAAAUCGUAAAAUCUGUAUUGAACCAAAUUAAACACUGAACUCUCUCUCUCUACUAAAUUCAUCACCCACCUCACUCUAUCUCUCUCUACAAAUUUCUACUUCACUUUGCACCCUAAUUAUCAAUGCUCUACUGAAUCUCGUAGCCGGGUUCUCAAUUCCAAGUUAUCUUCUCUAUUCUCUCAUCUCUUUUUUUUUGGAUUUAUUUUGCAUGUUCUUCCAAUUCUAAAAUAAAAUCAUUUGUGGUAUGGGUUUUGAUUUUUUUUUUUUUUUUUGAAUAAGUAUGGGCUCGAUUUCUUGAUAUUCCUUUUUUUUUUUUUGUCUCAAUAUUUUUAAAAUAUCUGGUUGCUUAUUUUGUUGUUGUAAGAAUUGGGUGGAAUUACUUCGAUUUAGUAAAUAUCUAGCAGAAAGGUGUGAGCUUUCUUUUUUCAAAGUUAAUGCCGUGUCUAAUGUUGGAUUGUUCGAUUUUGUUGUAUAAAAUGAGCUUGUGAGACACGAUUUUUUCUCUCAAGAAUCUAACAAAAAUUAGGUUUUCUUUGCUCUUGGAAUUUCCUUUCUUUUGCUUCUCAUUUGUGUUUGUUUAUUCUUGUUCUAAACUCGUUGUCCAUGGUGAAAGCUUGAAGCAUUGUCAACUCUCAAACGCCUCAAUUCGUUGCUCGUCGAAAGGUGUCGAAAAUGAAGAAAGGGACGAGACAAUGAAGACAUUGAUCUUACUUGAGAAGAUCUUUUAUGAAGAUUUCUACAUGUUCUAAGAAUCUUUUUGCUAUCGAACAUUUUGAAACUUAUCCUAAAUCUUGAAAUGUAAAACUUAAUUAUGCAUUUUGGGUUGAACAUUUUGCUUUUA
Molecule: long non-coding RNA, 1160 nt
Organism: Lycium ferocissimum
Lineage: Eukaryota; Viridiplantae; Streptophyta; Magnoliopsida; Solanales; Solanaceae
Exons: 2
Source: RefSeq, a predicted model, not a curated record